UACGAAGGGGGCUAGCGUUGCUCGGAAUCACUGGGCGUAAAGGGUGCGUAGGCGGGUCUUUAAGUCAGGGGUGAAAUCCUGGAGCUCAACUCCAGAACUGCCUUUGAUACUGAAGAUCUUGAGUUCGGGAGAGGUGAGUGGAACUGCGAGUGUAGAGGUGAAAUUCGUAGAUAUUCGCAAGAACACCAGUGGCGAAGGCGGCUCACUGGCCCGGUACUGACGCUGAGGUGCGAAAGCGUGGGGAGC
Molecule: ribosomal RNA, 246 nt
Filed under: uncultured bacterium
Lineage: Bacteria
Description: partial 16S ribosomal RNA
Rfam family: Bacterial small subunit ribosomal RNA
Source: RNAcentral